This 908-nucleotide unclassified non-coding RNA is filed under the name Hevea brasiliensis (rubber tree). Lineage: Eukaryota; Viridiplantae; Streptophyta; Magnoliopsida; Malpighiales; Euphorbiaceae. The record is from RNAcentral.
GGAGCACAAUGUAUGAAGAAUCCACCAACCCUCAACUCAGCUUCUGGAGUUGGAGAUUUACAAGAGAUUGGAGGGCUUAGCAGCUAUGUUAGUGGAUCUAUUCAUUCCAAACUUGCAAUUCUUCUCAUUUCUGAUGUAUUUGGAUAUGAAGCGCCACUUUUGAGGAAGUUAGCUGAUAAAGUUGCAGCUUCAGGGUACUUGGUGGUUGUUCCUGAUUUCUUCUAUGGUGAACCUUUGGAUCGCGAGAAACAUGACGUACAGACAUGGCUCAAAGAUCAUGGCAUUGACAAAGGAUGUGAAGAUGCUAAAGUAGUGGUUGAAUCUUUGAAGAGUAAAGGUGUUUCCGCGAUAGGGGCAGCAGGCUUUUGCUGGGGAGGAAUGGUAGUUUCUAAAUUGGCGAAAUACGAGAGUACUAUUGAUGCUGCAGUUAUCUUGCAUCCUGGUCCUAUAACAGUUGAUGACAUAAAUGAGGUAAAAGUUCCAAUUGCAAUAUUAGCAGCUGAACAUGACCAUAUUUUCCCUCCUGACCAAGCAAAGCUACUAGGCAAUGCUUUAUCCGCGAAACCUGAGAUUGAAAGCUUUGUGAAGAUAUUUCCAGGGGUAGAGCAUGGAUGGACAGUUCGAUACAACGUUGAGGAUGAACCGGCUGUCAAAGCUGCAGAAGAAUCUCACACAGAUAUGUUAAACUGGUUUACUAAGUUCAUCAAGUGAAAACAAAGAAAGUACUAAAUUAAAACAUCAUUUUUCAGAUGAGGAGAUUGUCAUAAUUCCUCGAGGGAAGUGAAAAUAUGUCACAAUAAGUACACUGCAUUUUGCUGUUAUAAAGAUGAAAUCAAGAUUAUGGUUUUAGCUUAUGAUGUAUAUUUCUCUCAACCCCGCCCCCCAUUAUCGGUUAAAACCUAAGGGUG